GAUGAACGCUGGCGGCGUGCCUAAUACAUGCAAGUCGAGCGAACGGACGAGAAGCUUGCUUCUCUGAUGUUAGCGGCGGACGGGUGAGUAACACGUGGAUAACCUACCUAUAAGACUGGGAUAACUUCGGGAAACCGGAGCUAAUACCGGAUAAUAUUUUGAACCGCAUGGUUCAAAAGUGAAAGACGGUCUUGCUGUCACUAAUAGAUGGAUCCGCGCUGCAUUAGCUAGUUGGUAAGGUAACGGCUUACCAAGGCAACGAUGCAUAGCCGACCUGAGAGGGUGAUCGGCCACACUGGAACUGAGACACGGUCCAGACUCCUACGGGAGGCAGCAGUAGGGAAUCUUCCGCAAAGGGCGAAAGCCUGACGGAGCGACGCCGCGUGAGUGAUGAAGGUCUUCGGAUCGUAAAACUCUGUUAUUAGGGAAGAACAUAUGUGUAAGUAACUGUGCACAUCUUGACGGUACCUAGUCAGAAAGCCACGGCUAACUACGUG
Molecule: ribosomal RNA, 497 nt
Filed under: uncultured bacterium
Lineage: Bacteria
Description: partial 16S ribosomal RNA
Rfam family: Bacterial small subunit ribosomal RNA
Source: RNAcentral